AACUAUCCGAGUAUGCCCAUUUUAUGAAAUAUCAUGCGGUGCGACCAUCAAGAAAUUACAAUUUUGGAGCUUUUAUUUUGAAUUCCACCGAAAGACAGGAAUUUGCAUCAACAUCCGUUUGCAAAGGACCCUUGAAAGCAACAAGCAGAUGCCGCUACCAAGUAAAGUAAAGACUGCUCGCUACAGGGAACGCGUCAAUUCCGACCCUGCAGCAAGAGCAGAGUACCUUGCCAGGAGAAAAGAAAGCUACCAGAGACGAAAACAGCAGGGAAAGAUUCACUAUGUUAAGUCAAGUGAGCUGCCUGGUAGAGAGAAAAAGAAGCAGAGAGAGAAAUGGAGGGCUGCAUCCGGUUCCUAUAGGGAUAGGAAAAAGAUGGCGCAUGCUGUAUUAGACCUCACACCGCCAUCUAUGGACAACAUCCCGCCAGUUCUGCUUGAUGUAGCUAUAUAUUCUCUUAAGCGGUUUGUGAUUUUUUU
Long non-coding RNA from Osmerus eperlanus (European smelt), 477 nucleotides. RefSeq lists it as uncharacterized. The record is from RefSeq and is a predicted model, not a curated record. The transcript is spliced from 3 exons. Lineage: Eukaryota; Metazoa; Chordata; Actinopteri; Osmeriformes; Osmeridae.